GACGAACGCUGGCGGCGUGCCUAAUACAUGCAAGUAGAACGCUGAAGGAGGAGCUUGCUUCUCUGGAUGAGUUGCGAACGGGUGAGUAACGCGUAGGUAACCUGCCUGGUAGCGGGGGAUAACUAUUGGAAACGAUAGCUAAUACCGCAUAAGAGUAGAUGUUGCAUGACAUUUGCUUAAAAGGUGCAAUUGCAUCACUACCAGAUGGACCUGCGUUGUAUUAGCUAGUUGGUGGGGUAACGGCUCACCAAGGCGGCGGUACAUAGCCGACCUGAGAGGGUGGACCGGCACACCUGGACUUGGACACGGCCCAGACCUCUACGGGAAGAAACAGUAGGGAAUCUUCGGCAAUGGGCGGAAGUCUUACCGAGCAACGCCGCGGGAGUGAAGGAAGGUUUCGGAGCGUAAAACUCUGUUGUAAGAGAAGAACGAGUGUGAGAGUGGAAAGUUCACACUGUGACGGUAUCUUACCAGAAAGGGACGGCUAACUACGUG
RNAcentral lists this ribosomal RNA (495 nucleotides) under uncultured bacterium. RNAcentral's name for it is "partial 16S ribosomal RNA". It matches the Rfam family "Bacterial small subunit ribosomal RNA", at positions 28 to 507 of the family's 1533-position model. The record is from RNAcentral.